This is a long non-coding RNA of Daktulosphaira vitifoliae (grape phylloxera), 3860 nucleotides long. RefSeq lists it as uncharacterized. Lineage: Eukaryota; Metazoa; Arthropoda; Insecta; Hemiptera; Phylloxeridae. The record is from RefSeq and is a predicted model, not a curated record. The transcript has 3 exons.
CGACGUAUUACGGCGUGCUGGAAAGCAAGCGAUCCCCGCACCCCCCACAGUAUAGAUCUGCCAAACAUAGAUAUAGCAGGCGACCCACAUUCGCGCGAAUUAUUAUCUCACAUAGUGAAACAAUACGCUGCGGUUUUUAAUAACACAGUGGGACGCACAACGCUUAUUGAACACACAUCACUCACUUUACUAGUGCCAGCCCGAGAACAGAGGCUGACACCACCAUCCUUAGCAUCAAACAUGGAGGAGACAUCGUUUUUAACAACAAAGUAGCGGCAACAACAAUAACAGCAGCAACAACACAGUAGCGGCAAUAACAAUAACGGCAGCAACAGCAAAGUAGCAAUAACAACACAGUACCGGUAGCAACAUCCAAAUUAGCAGCGGUGAAACAGCGACCAGCGGGAAAACCCACGGAAUUGGUAUACACGCACUCACCCCUUAGAUCACCCGCAAACAAGGUGAGUUUGCGGCAUUCACUGCGAUACGCAGUUUCUUCCCGGCCGUCAUUAAGUAGACCGGCGGCUUGGCGGGGGGGUAUUUGACACGGCCCGCGUCGCUUCGUUAUACACGAUGCCCCGCGACUCGUGCCACCUUUAUCAGCCGUCGCCCUACUAUGAGUAUUUGACUGACCAACACCGCGUGUUAUACGCUACGGUGCAAAGUCCAGCAAAUGCCGCACGGCCGACGACGACCCGCCGCAAAUGGUGCGAGAGUCUUCCUCCCGUUGUGAAAGCGACAACGUCGACAGCCGAACCGCACCCGCGCACCGUCGCCUACAACGCUGCUAACCAUUUUGCCGUUCAAGGAUUACGCCGGACAUCGCGUCGUCGACGCCAGCGAAAGUGCCGCGAUAUUAUGCGAAGAUUAUUAUUACUGUGUUAAUCUUUUCGGUUUGUUUUAUUUUUGUUAACAUAAUCUGUUGUCGCUCAUUUAAUAAACGGCCCACGGGUCUCUACCCUCAAACCAGUGUCGACCACAUUCUUGCGACGUAAGUCGUGUUAAAACUUUGUUUUGACACGGUCCCGUGUCGGUUCUUGAUACACGGAGCCCCGCGACCCUUGCAACGUUUACCAGCCAUCGCCAUAAUAUGUGUAUAUGGUAGUUUGACUAACACCACGUGCGAUACGUCAAGGUACAAAGUCCGGCAAGUACCGCACGUCCGUCGACGACUCGUCUCAAAUAUGCAUCGUUGAAGAAGUCAAAUUAGUAGAUGAGAGAAAAUAGACUUAGAUGGUUGUUUGGUCAUGUUAUGAGGACAGAAGAAUUGGACGCUAUAAGAACAGUUAAAGAAAUGAGUGUGGAAAGAAGAAGUUUAAACUGCUAUAACUUUUUCAAAAAUGACCAAAUCAAUAUAAUUUUUUUUUUUAUUUUCCGAUUCGGAUAGUGUAAGUCUCCGUCUUACUGUCAAUGUUGUUCCUAAAGUAUUAGCCAAAUUGGUCAUUGGUGACGCAACAUCUUGCCUUGGUGUAUGAUUGUUGAAUGCACUCAUAUUGAACUAAAUGUUAUGUUAGCUUAAUAGCCACCCAGAACAUUUCUAAGAAACAAUAACAAAUUCAAUUAGGGGUUGUUAAACUGUGAAAAUUUUGUGACGGGCAUUGCCCCCUAGUGACAUUUCAUUAUUUACCUUCGGAUCAACUACGAUUGGAAAAUCCUGAGGAUGACGGCAGCAAACACAUCGCGUUAUUUGAAACCGUGUUUAUGUACAAAAUAUUUAUAAUUAUUGAAAAAUAUAACAAUUUCACAUAAAAGAAAAACAGUUCAAAAAUGGCUUAAUAAUUUAUAGCUAACAAUAUUUACAAAACCAUUUUUGAAAAGUUAACGGAUACGUUGUAAGUGAGUACGUUGAGAAGAGCGUAGAAUAACGAACACCUAUUUGAAUGACUAAGUUUAUGGAAGAAUAAUGAAAGAGGGGGUAAACAUGAUAGAAGCGUUAAAGGAGGAAACCCAACACUAGCCGACAAUUCACGAAGCAAUGAUGAGGUCGGCGACGGUACCCGAAGUAAUAAUGUGAAUGCCGCAUGCUACUUGGUUAAGACCGGUUGAUGGACGGGGGGUCGGAAGGAAUGAACUGCGCGUAUGCGCAUUUGCCAGUUCGACAACCCCUGCCCCGACGUUGCUGCUUACGGUUUACUGCAUCAUUUAAUGUAUUUGCAUGGACUAGAGAAUUUUACUUAUCAAGAGCAAAACACUUUAACACACAGCUGUCCAUACACCCUUAAUAGUUUUAGUUACCAAUGUCAUGCCACGCCUUAUGGCGAACAAAAGUUGUAACACAACUCUUUAAUUAUUCUAAGUGAACUCAUCGGUCAACAACCCUUUUAGUUGGAAUUUGAAAAUAUUUUCUUUGCCAUAUCAUUUACUUAUAAAUUUUCUGAUAGUAACAGUCAAACCACAGUCUAUAUGACUAUUUUCAUAAAGUCUGAGGCCAAACUAUACGUAUUUUGAAAUCAAAGUCAUGCACAAUUCGUUUUUUAAUUUUAACUGUAUUCAUUACACAGUUUUCAGUUUAAUAAUAUUUUUGAUCUUAUAAACUAAACUUAUAUUUAGUUUUAAGUUCACAUUAGACUUGGUGGAUUUAAUAUAAAUUUUUAUAUUCACUUAUGAAAAAUAUAACAAGAAUUCUAAAAUUACAACAAAUGAAAUUUAAAAAAUGUAUAUUAGUUAUUAGACAUUUGACCAUCAUUACUUGUAAUCCGCAUUCGACCGAAUCGUACGCGACAGCUGCAGUACAGUUGUUUAAAUAUUACUGAGAAAUUUGUUGUUAAUAUCACAUAAAUUAUGCAUUAUUCUAUAAAUAUGGUUACUUAUUACGAAUUCUUUGUGGAUAAUCGUUGCGUGAUUAUUGUAUAGUUGAUUCGCGAAACAAAGACAAGCUAUGUUAGCCAAUUUUAUGUGAAGCAAAAAAUUGUUAUAACGGAGAAGUUUAUGAAAAGGUCGUUACACACUCAUAAAGCGUUAGGUUUAGAAAUUGGAACGUAGAAUUGUAGUUAAUAGAAUUCGCAAUCACGGAAAUUAGUGCCUAAUUAUUAGCGCAUUGUAGUACUUCAUUUUAAAAUGUGAUUUUAAAGAUUUAUUUGACGUUUCAUUGUAUCGUGAGUACGUGAUAAACAUAGUUUGUGUCAUUUGUUAGUAUUAAAAAAAAUAAAAAUCUACCCUGUUGGCUGCUUAUUUUCUGUUAUUCUGAAAUUCGUACACGAGUUACUUCGAUGUCGGCCAGGGGUUAAGCUUUAGUUCUAAAGGAUCCGUUUUUUCUCCGAACCACACAUGUAUCGCAAAUCGGUGUCCUGUAGGUCUGGGGGUGCGAUUAUACUGUCAAUGGGACCCGCAUAUGUAACUAAUAGCAAUAAUAGUAAUCACACGAGGGAUACGAAGGUUCAAGUUUUUGGGGUGCGUAUCUCUCACGCACUCACUGAACACUAUCCCCACAGAAAAAAUAAAAGAUUUUUGUUCUCAAAUCAAAUCGGUCAGACAGUUACCUACUUCUUGUUUUUCCCAGCCAUUUUAUACGGUCAAGGUAAUGACAUCGCGUUGGGCUCUCUCGAAUUAUUUUUUUUCUAAUCUACUUCUUAUCUAUGUAUUCCGUCAAUAGUUUAAAAUUAUGUGUUAUCAGAACGUAUAUUUGGUUAUAUCUAACAACAGUGUAGUCAUACACAAUUUAAACUGUGGUUUAACAGUCAACAGUUAUUACAAUGUACUUCUUACGAGAUAAAAAAGUAGGUUAAAUUGUUAAUGCAUUUUAAAAUUGAAACACAUGUUUUUGAUUUUUGUUAAAUUUCUAAGAAUGUGCUAGAAAAAAAUUAAAACUAGUUAAAUGAUAUCAGUUACAACAAAAAUUAUAAACAUAUUAUAUUAUAGAA